UGCAAGUCGACGACUCUGGUAUUGAUUGGUGCUUGCAUCAUGAUUUACAUUUGAGUGAGUGGCGAACUGGUGAGUAACACGUGGGAAACCUGCCCAGAAGCGGGGGAUAACACCUGGAAACAGAUGCUAAUACCGCAUAACAACUUGGACCGCAUGGUCCGAGUUUGAAAGAUGGCUUCGGCUAUCACUUUUGGAUGGUCCCGCGGCGUAUUAGCUAGAUGGUGGGGUAACGGCUCACCAUGGCAAUGAUACGUAGCCGACCUGAGAGGGUAAUCGGCCACAUUGGGACUGAGACACGGCCCAAACUCCUACGGGAGGCAGCAGUAGGGAAUCUUCCACAAUGGACGAAAGUCUGAUGGAGCAACGCCGCGUGAGUGAAGAAGGGUUUCGGCUCGUAAAACUCUGUUGUUAAAGAAGAACAUAUCUGAGAGUAACUGUUCAGGUAUUGACGGUAUUUAACCAGAAAGCCACGGCUAACUACGUGCCAGCAGCCGCGGUAAUACGUAGGUGGCAAGCGUUGUCCGGAUUUAUUGGGCGUAAAGCGAGCGCAGGCGGUUUUUUAAGUCUGAUGUGAAAGCCUUCGGCUCAACCGAAGAAGUGCAUCGGAAACUGGGAAACUUGAGUGCAGAAGAGGACAGUGGAACUCCAUGUGUAGCGGUGAAAUGCGUAGAUAUAUGGAAGAACACCAGUGGCGAAGGCGGCUGUCUGGUCUGUAACUGACGCUGAGGCUCGAAAGUAUGGGUAGCAAACAGGAUUAGAUACCCUGGUAGUCCAUACCGUAAACGAUGAAUGCUAAGUGUUGGAGGGUUUCCGCCCUUCAGUGCUGCAGCUAACGCAUUAAGCAUUCCGCCUGGGGAGUACGGCCGCAAGGCUGAAACUCAAAGGAAUUGACGGGGGCCCGCACAAGCGGUGGAGCAUGUGGUUUAAUUCGAAGCUACGCGAAGAACCUUACCAGGUCUUGACAUACUAUGCAAAUCUAAGAGAUUAGACGUUCCCUUCGGGGACAUGGAUACAGGUGGUGCAUGGUUGUCGUCAGCUCGUGUCGUGAGAUGUUGGGUUAAGUCCCGCAACGAGCGCAACCCUUAUUAUCAGUUGCCAGCAUUAAGUUGGG
This 1111-nucleotide ribosomal RNA is filed under the name Lactiplantibacillus plantarum. RNAcentral describes it as "bacterial SSU rRNA". It matches the Rfam family "Bacterial small subunit ribosomal RNA", at positions 56 to 1135 of the family's 1533-position model. Lineage: Bacteria; Bacillati; Bacillota; Bacilli; Lactobacillales; Lactobacillaceae. The record is from RNAcentral.